AUGAACGCUGGCGGCGUGCCUAAUACAUGCAAGUCGAGCGAACAGACGAGGAGCUUGCUCCUCUGACGUUAGCGGCGGACGGGUGAGUAACACGUGGAUAACCUACCUAUAAGACUGGGAUAACUUCGGGAAACCGGAGCUAAUACCGGAUAAUAUAUUGAACCGCAUGGUUCAAUAGUGAAAGACGGUUUUGCUGUCACUUAUAGAUGGAUCCGCGCCGCAUUAGCUAGUUGGUAAGGUAACGGCUUACCAAGGCGACGAUGCGUAGCCGACCUGAGAGGGUGAUCGGCCACACUGGAACUGAGACACGGUCCAGACUCCUACGGGAGGCAGCAGUAGGGAAUCUUCCGCAAUGGGCGAAAGCCUGACGGAGCAACGCCGCGUGAGUGAUGAAGGUCUUCGGAUCGUAAAACUCUGUUAUUAGGGAAGAACAAAUGUGUAAGUAACUAUGCACGUCUUGACGGUACCUAUCAGAAAGCCACGGCUAACUACGUG
This 495-nucleotide ribosomal RNA is filed under the name uncultured bacterium. RNAcentral's name for it is "partial 16S ribosomal RNA". It matches the Rfam family "Bacterial small subunit ribosomal RNA", at positions 29 to 507 of the family's 1533-position model. The record is from RNAcentral.